Long non-coding RNA from Triticum aestivum (bread wheat), 539 nucleotides. RefSeq lists it as uncharacterized. The record is from RefSeq and is a predicted model, not a curated record. NCBI's taxonomy places the organism in Eukaryota, Viridiplantae, Streptophyta, Magnoliopsida, Poales, Poaceae. The transcript is spliced from 2 exons.
GCCAGACAACCUUCUCUGCGCGAAUAGUUCCUUGCCUAUAAAACAAAGAUAUUGAGAAUAGCCAACAGAGAAGCUGGACACGAUCACACGAGGAUGGAGCGUUCUUCUUCCUUGCUCGCCCGCAGCAGCGUCGCCCUCCUGCUGCUGCUGGCUCUCCUACUCUGUUCCUUGGCUUGCUCGGCAGCGGUCCAAGUUUCUCUGGACGGAAACCGCGAGGGGCAACGACCUCCGGCGCCCUGGGCAUCAGGCGCGAGGUCGAAGUACUGCCCAGGCUGCAGCGACGACGGCGUCCCUCCGCCGCCACCGCCGCCGCCUGCAACUACGUCGGCACUUGCGCCUCACCGCAAGACCCUGGGGGUUGCUGCGAGGAUCCCUUCCACGAGAACCACCUAUACUAGAUGAUAUAUAUUGUUUUGUUGAUGAUGAUCAGACGGCUAAGAGUCAAAGCAGAGAAAUCUGAGCUAAGCCUUUACGACCCAGACAUGUUGCAUGUUCGCUCUCCAAAUUAAUUCUAAGCGGAAGUUCUACCGUGACCGACA